GUGCAGCAGUCGCGAAAACUCCACAAUGUGGGAAACCACGAUGGGGGAACUCCCAGUGCGCACACUUUGUGUGCGCUGUUCUCCUGCCUAACCAGCCGGGUGAAUAAGGGGAGGGCAAGUCUGGUGUCAGCCGCCGCGGUAAUACCAGCUCCCCGAGUGGUUGGGACGAUUAUUGGGUCUGAAGCGUCCGUAGCCGGCCGGAAAAGUUCCCCGUUAAAUCUGGCGAUCCAAUCGUUGGGCUGCGGGGAAUACUCUUCGGCUUGGGGGCGAGGGAGGUCGGCGGUAGUCCCGGGGUAGGGGCGAAAUCCUAUAAUCCCGGGAGGACCACCAGUGGCGAAGGCUGCCGACUAAAACGCGCCCGACGGUGAGGGACGAAAGCUGGGGGAGCGAACGGGAUUAGAUAUGAAGUUGAGUUUUUGCCAGCUUCACUAGAUACCCGUGUAGUCC
This 447-nucleotide ribosomal RNA is filed under the name uncultured archaeon. Its description in RNAcentral is "partial 16S ribosomal RNA". It matches the Rfam family "Archaeal small subunit ribosomal RNA", at positions 330 to 747 of the family's 1478-position model. The record is from RNAcentral.